AGACGUCUACAUUAGAUACCCGCGUAGUCCAGGGUGUAAACGCUGCAGACUUGGUGUUGGAAGCCCUUUGGGGGCAUUCAGUGCCGGAGAGAGUUGUUAAGUCUGCUACGUUGGGGAGUACGUCCGCAAGGAUGAAACUUAAAGGAAUUGGCGGGGGAGCACCGCAACGGGAGGAGCGUGCGGUUUAAUUGGAUUCAACACCGUAAACUCACCAGGGAAGACUGUUACAUGAAGGCCGAGAUGAAGACUCUGCUAGAUUUUCAG
This 264-nucleotide ribosomal RNA is filed under the name uncultured archaeon. RNAcentral's name for it is "partial 16S ribosomal RNA". It matches the Rfam family "Archaeal small subunit ribosomal RNA", at positions 717 to 982 of the family's 1478-position model. The record is from RNAcentral.